UACGUAGGGGGCGAGCGUUAUCCGGAUUCAUUGGGCGUAAAGCGCUCGUAGGCGGUCCAUUAGGUCGGAGGUCAAAUCCCGGGGCUCAACCCCGGUCCGCCCCCGAUACCGGUGGACUUGAGUGUGGUAGGGGAAAGCGGAAUUCCCGGUGUAGCGGUGGAAUGCGCAGAUAUCGGGAAGAACACCGGUGGCGAAGGCGGCUUUCUGGGCCAUCACUGACGCUGAGGAGCGAAAGCUGGGGGAGCGAACAGG
Molecule: ribosomal RNA, 252 nt
Filed under: uncultured bacterium
Lineage: Bacteria
Description: partial 16S ribosomal RNA
Rfam family: Bacterial small subunit ribosomal RNA
Source: RNAcentral